AAUCAACGCUGGCGGCGUGCCUCAGACAUGCAAGUCGAACGCGAAAGACACCUUCGGGUGUCCGGUAGAGUGGCGCACGGGUGAGUAACACGUGGGUAAUUUACCUUCGGGUGGGGAAUAACAGCCGGAAACGGCUGCUAAUACCGCAUAAUGCAGCGGCACCUCAUGGUGACAGUUGUUAAAGCGGGGGAUCCUUCGGGACCUCGCGCCUGAAGAGAAGCCCGCGGCAGAUUAGCUAGUUGGUGAGGUAAUGGCUCACCAAGGCGACGAUCUGUAG
Molecule: ribosomal RNA, 277 nt
Filed under: uncultured bacterium
Lineage: Bacteria
Description: partial 16S ribosomal RNA
Rfam family: Bacterial small subunit ribosomal RNA
Source: RNAcentral